This 278-nucleotide unclassified non-coding RNA is filed under the name Hevea brasiliensis (rubber tree). Lineage: Eukaryota; Viridiplantae; Streptophyta; Magnoliopsida; Malpighiales; Euphorbiaceae. The record is from RNAcentral.
ACUUCAUUCAAUGUACAAAAAGCACAGAAUAACGAAAACAAAUCAACGGAAAGAUGCAACAAAAAUGAUUUCAAGAAGCAUGAUCAAUACCUCAAGUGAAUGGCUUUGGAUGUUUGCAGGCUUGUUGAAUGUGAGAAGUAACGAGAGAUUUCUAAUAUCUGCAAAUUCCACAGUACAGUACUUGCAGAAAAGGCCUGGCCUUAGCCUUUCGUUCUCUGGCGAUUUUUCCUUUGCCCCCCACAAGUAGCAAGUUCCAGAGGAGAGCAAAGCAGAUGAUG